AACAUCGCGCACCUGCGGGAACCUGCGGAAGGAUCAUUACAGAGUUGCAAAACUCCCUAAACCAUUGUGAACGUUACCUAAACCGUUGCUUCGGCGGGCGGCCCGGGUCCUUCCCGGCGCCCCUCGGCCCUCGCGGGCGCCCGCCGGAGGUAAACCAAACUAUUGCAUUGUAUGGCCUCUCUGAGUCUUCUGUACUGAAUAAGUCGAAACUUUUAACAACGGAUCUCAGAUCGGAAGAGC
Molecule: unclassified non-coding RNA, 240 nt
Filed under: soil metagenome
Description: partial contains 5.8S ribosomal RNA, internal transcribed spacer 2, and large subunit ribosomal RNA
Source: RNAcentral